Molecule: long non-coding RNA, 738 nt
Filed under: Cavia porcellus (domestic guinea pig)
Lineage: Eukaryota; Metazoa; Chordata; Mammalia; Rodentia; Caviidae
Description: lncRNA (ENSCPOG00000034381.1)
Source: RNAcentral
CUUGUUUUGUUCUUGCUGUACUUGGUAGGCAACUGUUUUUUCUUUGAUGCCCCUUUUUCUACAGCCCUAUAGUCUUCAAUCCAGAGCUGAUGAGGCUGUUUCGUUUUGACUGCUAUAGCCCUGUGUACUGCAGAGUUGAGCCCUGCCGUCUAUGCUGUCUUUUGCUUCAUUUUGCUCCUGACCUAAAACCCCCCUGCUAUUCCAGGCCUGGCCUCUCAUGACCAGAGACUGCUGACUCAUCCUGGCCUGUGCCAAGCUGUGCAGUCGCUUAGUGAUGUGGACAGGAGUUGAAGGACUAGAAUGAGAUCACUGAACUCAUUUCACUUGUUGCUUACGGUACAGUCCAGCAUGAGCUGGAAAUGUAGGAACCUCAGCCUCCCGAGCAGAAAGACACUCUGGAACACUGUGAACUCGACAAACUAAUCAGAGCAGGGAGUUUAACGGCCAGGCCUGGACACUCUCAAGAGACUGUGUGCUGAUUCUCAGUCGUCACUCCUUGGAUCAGGAACCACAGUCCUGGAGUUUUCUGUGGAAAAGCAGGAAAAGAGAAGUGGAGGAGGAAGGACUCCCUCCAUACCCUGUGCUAAACCUACCAGGUGUCACUGUUUCAGUGGGAGUCUGGAAAGAAACUGUCAGAGGACACAUCUGAACCUUGCAGUGGCUGGCACUUUUCCUCUACAUUGUGAGAAAAAGAAAAUUAGCUGGAAUAAAACCUUGCUUUCCAUAUGGUGGACUUGA